Molecule: long non-coding RNA, 727 nt
Organism: Dendrobium catenatum
Lineage: Eukaryota; Viridiplantae; Streptophyta; Magnoliopsida; Asparagales; Orchidaceae
Exons: 2
Source: RefSeq, a predicted model, not a curated record
ACGGUCAUUUUUGCUGAGGAGCGAAUGACACAGUCCCCUCUUUCGUGUAUGGAAGGCAGGGAUCAUGUAGAUGUCAAAAAAAGCAGAGGGUAGAGAGUUUGAAGAGGUUUUUCUUUGGUUCGGCUGGCUGAGUCCGUCUCCCAUCAUUUGCAUACACUCUCCCUCACGCUCCCCCUUUCACUCUCAUUUUUUACGGACAAGGAGUGAACACCCCGCUGCUCCUCUUAGUAGCCUUACUCUAGCCAUUCACCUCCCUCUCUGAUCUCCUUCCCUCUUGCAUGGCCGAACCCCACGCUGGCCUCACCAAACUCGAGCCCUAUCCCUCAUCAACGCCAGCCUCACCGAGCCCCAUAUGGUCUUCUCUAGCCGAAUCCUUCUUUGGAUCGCAAGUAUACCUCUUAUUGAUGAUUUGUGAUUUGAGUUCACAUUGGAGUAUAAUUGGUCGGCUUGAUGCUCGUCUUAUGUGAUCCGUAGAGACUUUUCCUUCUUUGAGCCUAUAUUGUGGAAGUUGGAAAUUUAUCAGAAAGCAACUACAUGUUUUAUGUCUUGAAUCAAUAUUGUAUUGUGAUGAUGGAAAUGUUCUUUGUGCUCGUUUAUUUGAGGUAAGACCAAGUAAAACUCACUAAUGCUUGCUCUUUCCUUGCAAAUCUUGUUGUUUUAUAAUACUUAUGAGCAAGUACUGUUUCUUUAUAGAUAUAUGAGUACAAAAUCUGAGAACCUUCUUUAA